AAGUACAGAGAGAUAUCCAAUGCGUAGUUAUUUGCAUACUUCCACCUAAUGCUUCGUAUAAACAGAAUACAUUUCAUCAUAAUCAUUUGUUAGGAGAUCAUAAGGGCAUCUAACCUUGCACAUUAAGACAACAUUUAUCAAAUAAUUCUGUUUCAGGAGUUCAUGCAAUAUAUCUUGGUAGGUCAUCCAACUGCAGCAAUUAAUCAUCAUGACAGGUCAAAAAAAAGAAGCACCUUUUCUGCUAGGGCCAAGUAACUAAGAAGAGGUACUAAUCAAAGUAAGCUGAUACGUUCAGCCAAGGAUGAGAUCCAUUUCUUGUCUGUUGACUGCAUCAUCAAGUACAGGCAGCUGAAGGAGCUAUACUUGCACAGAAGCCGCUUCUUGGACACUUUUUUUCUUGACGAUUAUGAGCAACCACCUCCUCAUUCUUGCCGGCCAGCACCUGCUCCUCAUCGUCCCUCCCGUACCGUCGAAAUUCUGCUCCGCCUCCGGGCUUGCAUCGGCAAGCGCAGCAACGACGAUGGCGAUCAGCUGGGAACCAGGGUGACCACCCAGCGAAGCGUCUCAUGGGCUCGGUAGAGGUGGGAAGGGAGAAAGGAGAAGAAAGCGG
Molecule: long non-coding RNA, 610 nt
Filed under: Musa acuminata (dwarf banana)
Lineage: Eukaryota; Viridiplantae; Streptophyta; Magnoliopsida; Zingiberales; Musaceae
Description: long non-coding RNA (MACU_LNC010770)
Source: RNAcentral